This 496-nucleotide ribosomal RNA is filed under the name uncultured bacterium. RNAcentral describes it as "partial 16S ribosomal RNA". It matches the Rfam family "Bacterial small subunit ribosomal RNA", at positions 28 to 507 of the family's 1533-position model. The record is from RNAcentral.
GAUGAACGCUGGCGGCGUGCCUAAUACAUGCAAGUCGAGCGAACAGACGAGGAGCUUGCUCCUCUGACGUUAGCGGCGGACGGGUGAGUAACACGUGGAUAACCUACCUAUAAGACUGGGAUAACUUCGGGAAACCGGAGCUAAUACCGGAUAAUAUAUUGAACCGCAUGGUUCAAUAGUGAAAGACGGUUUUGCUGUCACUUAUAGAUGGAUCCGCGCCGCAUUAGCUAGUUGGUAAGGUAACGGCUUACCAAGGCAACGAUGCGUAGCCGACCUGAGAGGGGUAUCGGCCACACUGGAACUGAGACACGGUCCAGACUCGUACGGGAGGCAGCAGUAGGGAAGCUGCCGCAAGGGGCGAAAGCCUGACGGAGCAACGCCGCGUGAGUGAGGAAGGUCUCGGAUCGGAAAACUCUGUUAUUAGGGAAGAACAAAUGUGUAAGUAACUAUGCACGUCUUGACGGUACCUAAUCAGAAAGCCACGGCUAACUACGUG